UACGAAGGGUGCAAGCGUUAAUCGGAAUUACUGGGCGUAAAGGGUGCGUAGGCGGUUCGUUAAGUCUGUUGUGAAAUCCCCGGGCUCAACCUGGGAAUGGCAAUGGAUACUGGCGGGCUAGAGUGUGUCAGAGGAUGGUGGAAUUCCCGGUGUAGCGGUGAAAUGCGUAGAGAUCGGAAAGAACACCAACGGCGAAAGCACUCUGCUGGGCCGACACUGACACUGAGAGACGAAAGCUAGGGGAGCGAAUGGG
Molecule: ribosomal RNA, 253 nt
Filed under: uncultured bacterium
Lineage: Bacteria
Description: partial 16S ribosomal RNA
Rfam family: Bacterial small subunit ribosomal RNA
Source: RNAcentral